RNAcentral lists this ribosomal RNA (468 nucleotides) under uncultured bacterium. RNAcentral's name for it is "partial 16S ribosomal RNA". It matches the Rfam family "Bacterial small subunit ribosomal RNA", at positions 28 to 507 of the family's 1533-position model. The record is from RNAcentral.
GACGAACGCUGGCGGCGUGCUUAACACAUGCAAGUCGAACGGAAAGGCCCUGCUCUUGUGGGGUGCUCGUUUGGCGAACGGGUGAGUAACACGUGUGUAACCUGUACUUGUCUUUGGGAUAAAAUCAGGAAACUGGGGCUCAUAUAGGAUAGGAUAUCCUGAUGCAUGGUGGGCGUUGGAAAGUUUCGGCGGUUGGGGAUGGAUUCGCAGCUUAUCGGCUUGUUGGUGGGGUAGGGGAUUACCAAGGCUUUGAAGGGUAGGCGACAUGAGAGGGGGACCGGGGUCAAUGGUACUGAGGGACGGCCCAGUCGCGUACCGUAGGCAGCAGGCGAGAACAUGGCACAAUGGGCGGGAGCCUGAUGCGGCAGCGCCGCGUGCGUGAUGACGGCCUAUGGGGGAUAAACCGCUGUCUCCUGUGACGAAGCGGGAGUGACGGUAAUUGGUAAAGAAGCACCGGCUAACUACGUG